AGCAGUCGCCGCGGGAAUACAGAGGAUGCAAGCGUUGUCCGGAAUGAUUGGGCGUAAAGCGAGCGCAGGCGGUUAGAUAAGUCUGAAGUUAAAGGCUGUGGCUUAACCAUAGUACGCUUUGGAAACUGUUUAACUUGAGUGCAAGAGGGGAGAGUGGAAUUCCAUGUGUAGCGGUGAAAUGCGUAGAUAUAUGGAGGAACACCGGUGGCGAAAGCGGCUCUCUGGCUUGUAACUGACGCUGAGGCUCGAAAGCGUGGGGAGCAAACAGGAUUAGAUACCCCAGUAGUCCCUGUCUCUUAUACA
This 303-nucleotide ribosomal RNA is filed under the name uncultured bacterium. Its description in RNAcentral is "partial 16S ribosomal RNA". It matches the Rfam family "Bacterial small subunit ribosomal RNA", at positions 507 to 808 of the family's 1533-position model. The record is from RNAcentral.